This 1885-nucleotide long non-coding RNA is filed under the name Homo sapiens (human). RNAcentral describes it as "non-protein coding lnc-PRDM10-3:1". Lineage: Eukaryota; Metazoa; Chordata; Mammalia; Primates; Hominidae. The record is from RNAcentral.
GCUCCGGACCCUGUGGCCGCCAGGCGCGGGGGCGUGCGCGCGGCGGGUCUGGGGCCGCAACCCUGUGGGCGCGGGGCUGGCUCUGGCCUCCGCCCCCCGGCGCGGUUAUCUGUCCCUGCUGCGCUGGUCCGUCAGCCUUCAGCCUCCCGAUACGGGCACGCCCCGCUCCCCUGCCCCUGCUGGGCAUUCUUCAGACUCCUUUGGGAAGAGAUCACGCCGCUUCUUCGGUUGAGACGCACUAGCGGGAGACCUGCUACUCUGCCUUCCUGCUCCGCGGCAUUGCCACUUCAGUAGAGAAAAACGUCCUGCUGCCCCAUUUAGCAAUUGGCACAGCCUCGCCACCGCCAGGGCUCCGCUGGCCUUGUUUCCUUUCAGUCGCCUGUGAGUUAGGUACUGCCUUCUGAGAGACCUGGACUAGUCCCUUCAGGUUCAACUAAAUGCAUAACACAACCCUACCCCCAGGACGCUGACAAUAGAAAGGAAGAGACUGUCCGCGGAGUAGACGAGUGCGCCUGUAAGAACUCGGGAUUUUCCAGCCUUAUUCUGCACCACUCUCCCCUACAUGCCCAGUUCCCUGUGGGUAAACUGGCUCUGCCCGAUUCCUCCAAGACGACACCUUUCCAUUUCACAGCCCUUCCUAACACUCUUCUGCGCCUGCAAUGUCCUCUCCCCAACAUCUGCCUGUUGGAAGCGUUUUCACUGUUCCUCGGCUCAGUCGGCUGAAAUAUCGCUUCUGAUUGCUCAGAGGGAUGUUUCCCACUGUGGCACUCGCUCCCUAGUUAUUCCAUACCUCUCUCAGGUCACUGACAAGACUUGGGUCUGUCAUGCCGCAGUGCCCCUCACAGUGCAGUCCUCGAUAAAUGUUUGCCCAGUGUUAUUGAACCCAGUUAUCUUGGGUGCUGAUACUAGUUCUGGAACUGGCAUGAAUUUGGCUCUUGCUAUGGACCGAAUUUUGUCCCCACCCCUAAUGUGUGUGCCGAAGCGCUGAACCCCAGUGUGAUGGUUAUUUGUAAAUGGGGCCUUUGGGAGGUAAUCGGAUUUGGAUGAGGUCAUGGAGGUAGCAGGUCAUGAUGGGAUGAGUGCCUUUAUUAGGAGAGACACCAAAGAGCUUGCUUUUCUCUCACACUCUCUGUCCCCUACCCCCAACCUCAGCCCUCACCUCCCUCCUCCAUGUGCGAACACAGCAAGAAGGCCGCCAUCUGCAAACCAGGAAGAGGUCCAUCACUGAGGGGCCAAAGUGGCACCUUGAGCUUGGACUUCCCAGGCUUCAAGAACUGUGAAAAAUAAAUCCCUGUUGUUGAAGCCCCCCAGCCUAUGUUAUUUUGUUGCAGCAGCCGGAGCUGACUGACACAGCCGCAUGAUCACCGGCAAGUUCCUCCAUCGCUUGGGACUCUCUUUUCUUCUCUGUCAAAUGUGAAUAUUAAAACCUGUCUCACUGCACCGCUUUGUGUGAUUGAACUUAAAAUGAAUGUACAAUAGUGAAAAGCAUGAAGUGACUUAAAUGUAAGGGGUAGGAGGGUAAAGCGAUGUAUUACUAAGUGCAGGUUCAUCUGCAAGUAUGUGGGAAAAGUAUCAAGUGACUACCUAAAUCCUCAUUGAGUUGUUGAGCCUAGGGUAGGACAUGUAGCCCCUCUGGGGCCUGUUACCUCACCUACAAAAUCAGGGCCUUGAACUCAGGGAAAAGCAAGUGAGAUAUCUGAGUUCAGUGGCGUGGAUAUUCAUGCUUUGGAGACUGUAUCUUCAAGACUGAGCUUUAAUAUCAUGGGAUAGUACAAGGAAAUACAGGAACAUAAUUUAGAGGGCCUUCAGUCUAAACUUAGGUCUUGAAAGAAGUUUAUUUGCAUUUUCAAGUUAUGGAAGGAUCGUUACUAAGAGUUGAUAGCCC